RNAcentral lists this long non-coding RNA (356 nucleotides) under Ricinus communis (castor bean). RNAcentral describes it as "long non-coding RNA (RCOM_LNC002311)". The record is from RNAcentral. Lineage: Eukaryota; Viridiplantae; Streptophyta; Magnoliopsida; Malpighiales; Euphorbiaceae.
CUCACCAAAUUAGCAAAGAAAAAAAAAGAGAAAAAAAAGGGGGGAAGCGAGAGAAUGAAGGUAGUCUAGUCCACAGCCACCUCGCGGCCGACUAGUCUCAACCACAGGUAACCCGCGCCUCUCAAAAUAAAACAGCACACGAGGCAAUCCGCUCCAUAGCAAGGUCGCGACCUGAUAUCUCGAGCCACUGCCAGACCGUGACAUCACACGCGAAAAGAAAGGAGACAACCAGUCCACUCCACGGGAUGGACACGAUGCACCCAUAAUCAUCACAGCCCGGUCGCGACCCAUCUCAUCGCAAUUAAAGGCGACAGCCCAAGCCCUAUGUUCGGUGCUGCACUUUCUCCAGCCUUUUC